This 253-nucleotide ribosomal RNA is filed under the name uncultured bacterium. Its description in RNAcentral is "partial 16S ribosomal RNA". It matches the Rfam family "Bacterial small subunit ribosomal RNA", at positions 524 to 776 of the family's 1533-position model. The record is from RNAcentral.
UACGGAGGGGGCUAGCGUUGUUCGGAAUUACUGGGCGUAAAGCGCGCGUAGGCGGCUUUGUAAGUUAGAGGUGAAAGCCCGGAGCUCAACUCCGGAACUGCCUUUAAGACUGCAUCGCUAGAAUUGUGGAGAGGUGAGUGGAAUUCCGAGUGUAGAGGUGAAAUUCGUAGAUAUUCGGAAGAACACCAGUGGCGAAGGCGGCUCACUGGACCGGUAUUGACGCUGAUGUGCGAAAGCGUGGGGAGCAAACAGG